GGUUGGCCCAAAAGUCCGUUCGGGUUUUUCUGUAAAAUGUUACAGGAAAGCCAAUCAAACUUCUGGGGCAACCC
RNAcentral lists this microRNA precursor (74 nucleotides) under Ovis aries (sheep). RNAcentral describes it as "miRNA (ENSOARG00000022820.1)". Lineage: Eukaryota; Metazoa; Chordata; Mammalia; Artiodactyla; Bovidae. The record is from RNAcentral.